This 478-nucleotide ribosomal RNA is filed under the name uncultured bacterium. Its description in RNAcentral is "partial 16S ribosomal RNA". It matches the Rfam family "Bacterial small subunit ribosomal RNA", at positions 28 to 523 of the family's 1533-position model. The record is from RNAcentral.
GACGAACGCUGGCGGCGUGCUUAACACAUGCAAGUCGAACGGUAAGGCCCUUCGGGGUACACGAGUGGCGAACGGGUGAGUAACACGUGGGUGAUCUGCCCUGCACUUCGGGAUAAGCCUGGGAAACUGGGUCUAAUACCGGAUAGGACCACUGCCUGCAUGGGUGGUGGUGGAAAGCUUUCGCGGUGUGGGAUGGGCCCGCGGCCUAUCAGCUUGUUGGUGGGGUGAUGGCCUACCAAGGCGACGACGGGUAGCCGGCCUGAGAGGGUGACCGGCCACACUGGGACUGAGAUACGGCCCAGACUCCUACGGGAGGCAGCAGUGGGGAAUAUUGCACAAUGGGCGCAGGCCUGAUGCAGCGACGCCGCGUGAGGGAUGACGGCCUUCGGGUUGUAAACCUCUUUCAGCACCGACGAAGCGCAAGUGACGGUAGGUGCAGAAGAAGGACCGGCCAACUACGUGCCAGCCGCCGCGGUAA